AAUGACUUUGCUCGUGAGUAUUGCAUCAGGUACUGGUUAUUAUUAUUCUUAUCAGUAUCUGGGUAAAACUCAUGAGCCGGGUUAA
Pediculus humanus corporis (human body louse) is the source of this 85-nucleotide microRNA precursor. The record is from RefSeq and is a predicted model, not a curated record. NCBI's taxonomy places the organism in Eukaryota, Metazoa, Arthropoda, Insecta, Psocodea, Pediculidae.